Molecule: ribosomal RNA, 438 nt
Filed under: uncultured bacterium
Lineage: Bacteria
Description: bacterial SSU rRNA
Rfam family: Bacterial small subunit ribosomal RNA
Source: RNAcentral
CCUACGGGAGGCAGCAGUCGGGAAUAUUGCGCAAUGGAGGAAACUCUGACGCAGUGACGCCGCGUAUAGGAAGAAGGUCUUCGGAUUGUAAACUAUUGUCGUUAGGGAAGAAAAAGGACAGUACCUAAGGAGGAAGCUCCGGCUAACUACGUGCCAGCAGCCGCGGUAAUACGUAGGGAGCAAGCGUUAUCCGGAUUUAUUGGGUGUAAAGGGUGCGUAGACGGGAUAAUAAGUUAGUUGUGAAAUCCCUCGGCUCAACUGAGGAACUGCAACUAAAACUGUUAUUCUUGAGUGUUGGAGAGGAAAGCGGAAUUCCUAGUGUAGCGGUGAAAUGCGUAGAUAUUAGGAGGAACACCAGUGGCGAAGGCGGCUUUCUGGACAAUAACUGACGUUGAGGCACGAAAGUGUGGGGAGCAAACAGGAUUAGAUACCCUUGUA